This 253-nucleotide ribosomal RNA is filed under the name uncultured bacterium. RNAcentral's name for it is "partial 16S ribosomal RNA". It matches the Rfam family "Bacterial small subunit ribosomal RNA", at positions 524 to 776 of the family's 1533-position model. The record is from RNAcentral.
UACGGAGGGAGCUAGCGUUGUUCGGAAUUACUGGGCGUAAAGCGUGCGCAGGCGGUUUUGUAAGUCUGUCGUGAAAUCCCCGGGCUCAACCUGGGAAUUGCGAUGGAGACUGCAAGGCUAGAAUCUGGCAGAGGGGGGUAGAAUUCCACGUGUAGCAGUGAAAUGCGUAGAGAUGUGGAGGAACACCGAUGGCGAAGGCAGCCCCCUGGGUCAAGAUUGACGCUCAUGCACGAAAGCGUGGGGAGCAAACAGG